UUCCCAGCCGGGAGUCGAAACCCGGUCGCCUGGUGAGAUGCCAGGAAUCCUGACCGCUAGACCAUUGCUGGA
This is a non-coding RNA of Araneus ventricosus, 72 nucleotides long. The record is from the annotation of a GenBank genome assembly. NCBI's taxonomy places the organism in Eukaryota, Metazoa, Arthropoda, Arachnida, Araneae, Araneidae.